UUUAAUGAGAGUUUGAUCCUGGCUCAGGACGAACGCUGGCGGCGUGCCUAAUACAUGCAAGUAGAACGCUGAUGUUUGGUGUUUACACUAGACUGAUGAGUUGCGAACGGGUGAGUAACGCGUAGGUAACCUGCCUCAUAGCGGGGGAUAACUAUUGGAAACGAUAGCUAAUACCGCAUAAGAGUAAUUAACACAUGUUAGUUAUUUAAAAGGAGCAAUUGCUUCA
RNAcentral lists this ribosomal RNA (226 nucleotides) under Streptococcus agalactiae CCUG 39096 A. Its description in RNAcentral is "partial 16S ribosomal RNA". It matches the Rfam family "Bacterial small subunit ribosomal RNA", at positions 1 to 217 of the family's 1533-position model. Lineage: Bacteria; Bacillati; Bacillota; Bacilli; Lactobacillales; Streptococcaceae. The record is from RNAcentral.